UUAAAAUAAGAUUAAGACCUAAUUAUGUGUCUAACAUAUCAAAAGCCAUUCAUCAUAUUCAUUCUUAUUGGUAGAAAAGAAAAAGAUAAUGUUUUUACAAGUCCUUCAGAUUUAUUAUUAUAGAGGGUUUAGUUUUCAAAGUAGGUACUUUACUUACAUGCCUACACUUUUAAUAGUAUUCAAAUGCAUUUAACCACGAAGGUUGUUAAUAAAAAAAAAAUAAUAAUAAUUUAAUUCUUGAACUUUCAUAACAUUCAUGAUAAAAAUAAUGUACACUCACCUUAUUUUUUAGCGCUAUUGAAGUUAUUCUCAUGGUUUAUUUUAUUGACUUUUUGCAUAGGUUAUUAGAAUUUUGUCACCAAAUUAUUUACUGUGCUAUGAUGGUACUUUAACCAGUUGAAAGAAUAAUGUCAGGCACAUUAAAAAAAAAAAAAAAUAAUAAUAAUAAUAGAAGGAAUGUUGAGACUUUUAGUUAGUAUGUGUCUACCAAUACAGCCUUUGUGGUGACUAGUUACUAACCUAUAUAGUACAAGUAUCAGGAUACCUAGGCUAAGUAUAUCUUUAAGUACAGGCUAAUCUCGAGAACUUUCGAAUAAAUUUGUGCGUGGCACUUGUCAUAGUCUUCACGUCUGCUAGAAAGUUACCACCAGUAAAAUAGAAACAAAAUGUGCCUAGGGGAAGCCAGGUAGAGUGGCUAGUAGUUUAUAAUAAAUGACGCGAAGUAAGAGUGUCUUGUAACUAAUCAAAAUGUUGUUUUAACUUGAAUGUUCUGGAUUAUUCACAAUCAUAGUGACGUAAACCUAAUUAAAAGAAUCUCAGCUUCUUAUAUUUACAGUUAAGUAACAUCAACAUGUAUGAUGUGGUUACUGCCGGUAGAUACUUCAAUUAAUGCGACUACUGUUAGUUUAUUAUUCGUAAUAACGUACCUAGCGUUAUCCCGAUACUAUUGAGUUAGUGUAAUUCCAUGAUCUCUGUCUACCCCAAUGUGGCUCUACGGAUUCUACAUUAUAAAGCAAUCUAAUCUCUUUGAUUAAACGCCUGUUGCGUAUCUUAUGAUUAUCGUAUUUUGCUACUUCUUCUUAUAUCGUGUGGGUUGUGAGGUGAAUUACCAACCUCAUCAACCCUGGUGUUAGGGUUAUUAUUGGGCCGUCAAGGGCCCCUGACAUGACUCAUGUAACAACUGCUUACUUAAAUUGGUAAUCAGUAACUGGGACCAACGGUUUAUUUUGUUUUCCGACAAUUGGGUGGUUAGCCUGUGGCGUCCUAACUAAACUAAGGAUCACAAAGUGGGUUUUGUGAUGUAUCCCCACAGGGAUUCGAACCCGGGACCAACCUCAACCUCUGGAUCAUGAAGGCCGAUUUCUGCUUAUUAUCAAUGUUAUCUAUUUUGCUAGUACUUAAAAACACUAAUAUACCUAUCUUAAACGUUGUAUGUAAUACUGUCCACUGCAAGAUAGUUAUGAGGCGGUAUACCAAAAAUUUAAGACUUAUAAAUACAAUAUGUUAUCUAGCCGUCAGACCAAUAAUUCUUAUGUGAUCGAAAGGUUUGAUGUUAUAAAUUGCGGUUAAAUACCUAAGGAAUAUUAUCCAAAUAAGCACUUAAGUUUGAGGGCAUUUUAGUGAUUCAAAAACGAACUCGUAAUGAUUAUAAAAAAAAGAGCUAUUAGAAUGUAUGGUAAACCUGGAAUGCAACAAUAUAUAUGGAUACAAUACAAUUACUCGUUAUUGAACCAAAACAAGACUUAUCAUCAAUACGCGGCAAUUGGCGACCUUAUCGAUGUAAUAAUAAUAAUAAUUUCUUAUAUGUGUAUAAAUCGUAAAUGAUGAUAUUAGUCGAUUAAGUUUAACGUAAUACCUAUCACAUAAUAAUUACUCGAAUAUGCGACAGAAGAAUAUGUGUAGGUACCUAGUAUUAUAUUUAUUUGUAUGUUUCAUAAACAUAACUAGCGAAAAGUGGGUAUUUGCAUACUAUACACCUCUGCUCACCCUUUCGGGGAUAUAAGCGAGAUGCUCUGUUAUGUGCUUUAUUCAUUGUAACUUUAAUUUUUAAAUCAGUUAGUUAAAAGGUUAAUUGGGCAUUACAUUAUUUAUCAGGGAUUCCCAAUAUUUGUAUUAUUACAGUUAUUACAACCAUACUUAUUAGGAUACAAUUAUUUACACUUGUUUUAUCCAAUUACAAUGACAGCUACUUAUCGACCACUACUUUCGGACGGCGAUAUAAUUCACCACUUAACAUUAUUAAUUAGACCAGAGCUUUGUUCGAAUAAGGCUCGGUUAGACGUGUGUACUUGGUUCAUCAUACGACGGCUCCCAACUAAUUGGGAAUAUAAUCUUAAUUCAGUUCUCUUUUAUUUUAGUUGUAUAGCGAAAUAUAGACAAACCUAAUAAUAUGCUUACGACAGCGAUUAUUCGAGUAGGUUCCGUGAAACCUACAGGUUUCACAGAAAAGCCAAAAGGGGUACCCAUAAUUAUUUGUUUUGGCUGCCAUUAAAUACUAUAGUUCAGUAUUGGAUGCCACACCAGAUAUAUAUGUCAUGUCCAUAUGCAAGUGUCAGAAAAAGGUGUGAAAAUGGAACAAGUUCAGUAUCUCUAGGUAUUCACAUUUAAAGUUGAAUAACAUGUUUCUUUUAAUUAAAAGGUGCUCCUAAUUAAAUUAUAGUGUUAGUGUAUUAUAGUAUUCUGUAGUUCUUUUUUAAAUCCAAGUUAUUAGUUUUGUAAUCAUUUAAUGUGGGGUUCCGUUAAAAGGGAAAGUUGUUCCGAACUCUACAAGAUGUUGAAAAUAAACACAAGUAAGAAAGAAUACUUACAGUCAUCUUAGCAAUUACAAAAACAUAAAAGAAGUACAUUAUGUAAUUAAUACUUGUUAUUUAUUUGAUGAUAAUACUUAUCAAUUUAAUUAUCCAAUAUUUUGUUUCGGAAGAGGCAAAAAUUUAUUUAUUAAAAAUUAUUAAAGCAUACUUUAUAGUAUACCUACUCAAGUAUACUCUUACUAAUUACAUGGGAACCGAUUACGGUUUAUACUAAUUUAUAAUAGAUAUACUUAAUACCCUGACUCUAUUCAGUAAAGAACCUGCAAAUAUAGAAAUCGUUAGCAGAUAAUUUUACAAACUGACCAAUUUUAAGGGUCAACAGAUAAUUUUACAGACUGACCAAUUUUAAGGGUCAAUAGAUAAUUUGACAGACUGACCAAAUUCAAGGGGUCGACAGAUAAUUUGACAGACUGGCCAAUUUCAAGGGUCAACAGGUAAUUUCACCAACUGACCAAUUUCAAGGGUCAACAAAUAAUUUUACAGACUGACCAAUUUUAAGGGUCAACAAGUACCAAUGCAAUGCCAUGAUUUAACUGACAAAUUGCCGAGUAAGACAGAACUGGUCUAUACAAUGAGACAAUAAAUAUAAUAAGUGGUAGCAGUAUAAAUUAUAAACUGUUUAUUAUUAGAAUCAGAAUAGUCACCAGCGACUAUCCUUCGGUACUUGUCAAUUUCAAGGACAGGUAUAGAAUCAGAAUAUUCACCAGCGAUUAUCCUUCGGUACUUGUCAAUUUCAAGGACAAGUAUAGGAUUACAGUGAUCACCAAGGAUCAUACUUAGGUACUUGUCAAUUUCAAGGACGAUUAUCAGGAACUGACUAAUUUCAAGGGUCAGUAAUAAGCUCAGGGUGAUCACCAGCGAUCAUCCUUAGGUACUUGUCAAUUUCAAGGACGAGUAUUAGGAACUGACUAAUUUCAAGGGUCAGUAAUAAGCUCAGGGUGAUCACCAGCGAUCAUCCUUAGGCACUUGUCAAUUUCAAGGACGAGUAUUAGGAACUGACUAAUUUCAAGGGUCUGUAAUAGGCUCAGAGUGAUCAUCAGCAAUCAUCCUUAGAUACAUAUCAAUAACAAGUACCUAGGAAUAUGUGUUAGGAACUAACCAAUUUCAGGAGUUAGUGCGACUUACGGUCAUUUAACUUUAAUAAAAACUUUAUUGAUCUAAAAUGUGUCUUAUCGUGCAUUUACUUAGACUUACAGUUGAUACAGUCAAAUAUACCUACGGUAUUUUAUAUGUAAAUAAAGUAAAGCUUGUGAAGUUUGUGUGAAGGUUAAUCUAAGAGAUAUUUAUUUUCAAAUUAGAAAGUUACAUGUCAAUUUCAAGUAAGGACAUGUAUUAUAAACUAACCAAUUUCAAGGGUUAGUAAGGCUUUAAGUUUAUUUAACAUUAAGCAAAUCUCUAUUUAUGCAAAAUGUGCUUUAGCAUGUAUUUAUUCAGACAUACAGUUGAUACCGACAGAUAUAUCUAUAGUAGUGUUAUUAGAACAAGUUUGUUCGAAGUUUAAGCUUAAAGUUAUCUUUUUUUUUUAAAUCAGUAAGUUUAUAUUAUUUACAGUACUUUAAUAGUGAUAAAGAUUGUCAAGUAACUUCAAAGAGUAUCGCUAGAAAUAAGCAUAUAAAUUCUGUCAUUAUACUUAAAAUUCCUACUGUAUUUUAAUUUGCGUAACGAGUGUAGCAUUAUAUAAAAAGAAAAGAAAUGUACUUCUUAUUUUAUUGUUAGUAGCUCUAAUGAACAACGAAGGGACUCGUUGAUAUAUCGGAUGGCCGAGUUGUUAUGAUCUUCAUGAUAUGGGCUAUAAACUGUUACAAAUAACACUAGUAUUACAGUUGUGUUGGUAUACAUUAAUAGUUAUCUUUAUGUUUGUUUCAAUUAUUCCUGCAUUAAUAUAAUAAUUGAAUGUACAAAUACCUAGUUAUAAAUAUAUUGUUAUACUUAUUGUAAAUUAUUUUAACUUCAAUUACUCGUAUUAGUAACUCGCUCUGUAAACGUAUCCUCUCGUUUGACGUGAGAUGU
This 4820-nucleotide long non-coding RNA is filed under the name Pectinophora gossypiella (pink bollworm). Its description in RNAcentral is "uncharacterized LOC126369898". The record is from RNAcentral. Lineage: Eukaryota; Metazoa; Arthropoda; Insecta; Lepidoptera; Gelechiidae.